CGGAGUCUCUAGGGCACCAGACUUUUUUAAAAAAACGAAUCCCCAAGCGAUGCCAAUGUGCAGCCAAGUUUGAGAAAUGGUGCCUCGGACCUUGCCAGCCAGCACUCCGCUGAAGGCAGCAGCCUCGCUGCUCUCCAUGUAGGACGUGCUGUCCCGGGCAUCGGGCAGGCUUUGCAGGGGAGGUUCGUGCGCCAACGCCCUGGUGCUCUCUCCGCCCCUGGGCCCGGCUGGGCUGGGAGACGGCGUGUCUCCAGGUCCCGGUCGGCGACCACACGCGCGCGAGGCCGCUCCGACUUCCCUGGUUCUCUCUGCCCCCACCGCACGCAGGGCUCGGCGGCGCCACGCUGCCCACCCCAACCAAGUUCAAGGGAAACGCCGGGGGCGCGGGGAUCCUACCUUGGCCGCCGGCGCUGCCCGCCGGUCCCCGGGAUCCGGAGGCGCAGGAUGGCUUCCCCGGAUUCUUUGUCAGAGUCGAAGAAUGAAUCACGGACAGAAGAUGGUAUAGCGAAGGUGGAAAUUUACUGAAGAACAAGUACAGACUCCCACGUGGGGAGGCGGACAGAGUCCCACCGAGUUCCUUUUUCCUCGUCUAUAAAGGCUGCAGUUUUUGUGCCUCAAUAUCCCCUCUGAUUGGCCACCAUUCCCCUUUGAUUCGGUCACUAUAGCAACUCUUGAGCUCAAAGGUCAUACCUCACAUGGGACACAUGAAGCCUUCCUUCUUUGUUUUGUAAAUACAGACCUUUGGCUACUCCCAGUUCCCUUAUCUUGUGGAAAUGUAACUGUUGCCUCUCCCAACUCCCUUGUCUUAUGGAAGUGUACCCUUUUGUAACUCUGUAGCCCUGUGUUUUUUUCCAUGGACCCCCCCCUUAAUUUAAAAAAUGCCCUAAACCUGUCUAUUUCACCCCCCAAAAUUCCUAUUUCAGCACGACACCCAAAAUGGAACCUUGUACCAUGUGGCUCAAAACACAGCUGCUGAGCUAAAUGAGGGGCAGGUGUGCGUCUUUGUUUGUUUGCAUGAGAAGCAGGAGAGAAAGGGUUUUAAAUGAUCUUAAAAACGAGGACCAGAUGGCAAAUAAGCCCCCAGGCUGCUGGCAAACAGGUUUUAUUUGUAUUUUCGUUCGAAUGAUCUUUAUAAUUAAUUUUUUUUCUUCAAUGAGUAUACAGUAAAUCUGACUCUUUAAAAUGUUGGUGUUCAGUUCCCUGGAUUUUAGCACACAUACAGAUUUGUGUAGCUGCCACCAGAGUGAGGCUACAGAACAGCCAAAAAAAACA
Long non-coding RNA from Myotis daubentonii (Daubenton's bat), 1272 nucleotides. RefSeq lists it as uncharacterized. The record is from RefSeq and is a predicted model, not a curated record. NCBI's taxonomy places the organism in Eukaryota, Metazoa, Chordata, Mammalia, Chiroptera, Vespertilionidae. The transcript has 2 exons.